RNAcentral lists this long non-coding RNA (628 nucleotides) under Ricinus communis (castor bean). Its description in RNAcentral is "long non-coding RNA (RCOM_LNC000801)". The record is from RNAcentral. Lineage: Eukaryota; Viridiplantae; Streptophyta; Magnoliopsida; Malpighiales; Euphorbiaceae.
CAAAGAGCUGUUUGUGCAUUACAUUUCUACUAAGGAUCAAAUUGUUGAUGGCUUCACAAAGGCCCUUUUCCAAAGAACAAUUUGCAUGGUUCCGAGACAAGUUGCAUGUCCCUACUGGGUCCUUACAACUUGAGGGAGGGUGAUAAGGAUGACUUAUGUUAUAUUAGCUUAUAUUAGCUGUCUAUAUAUUCUACUAAUUAUAGAAUUCCUAUUGCAACAUGGAUUGUAACCCUACUGCUUGUACUAUAUAUAUUCGUCUCAUACAUCAAUAAUAUUUGAUACUAUUCCAUGCAAAUCACGUUCACAGAAUGAUGUGACCAAGGCCAAGAGUCCAUAUACUUCAAGAGGCGAAGACCCUUUAAGCAUUUAAGAAGGACUAAUCACAAGAUCAAAGGCUAAGAAGACGAAGGAAGCACUUGUUGAGCUUAUUAAGAAUAAUUGAGUUCAAGACACUACAAGCUAUGAGGAGUCAACUCUAAAAUCAAGUCCAAGACUUAUUAGCUUGAUCUAAUACCAAGGCGCUUGAUUAAAUCUAAUUGGGCCAAGGAGGAUUAAGAAGCAAGCCCUUGCAUGUGACCUUCUUAAGUAAUUAGGGUUCCAACUUAAACUUGUUGACUAGUUAACAGGG